UAAAUUGUUUAGUUAAUGUUGAAUAGUUGUUUUGAUUUGAAACAAUUUUUUCCAAACAGUUCUAUGAAAACAUACAUGGAAAACAGUGAUCUCCAUGGAAACAUUGAUUAAACAAAAACAUGUUAAAUUGUUAGUUUAUUUUAAACAGUACUGACUAGUUGCUUUGAUUUGAAAUAAGUUUUCUUUUUAAGUUUUUUGAAAAAUUACCACGACAAAAGUGGUGUCCAUGGAUACAUUGAUUAAACAACAACACACUAAAUUGUUUAGUUAAUGUUGAAUAGUGGUUUUGAUUUGAAAUAAGUAUUGGAACCAGUUUUUUGAAACAUUACGUGGAAAACAGUGGUCUCCAUGGAAACAUUGAUUAAAUAAAAACAUGUUAAAUUGUUAGUUUAUUAUAACCAGUACUGACUAGUUGUUUUGAUCUGAAAUGAGUUUUUUAAAAAGUUUUUUGAAAAAUUACCACGACAAAAGUGGUCUCCAUAGAUACAUGGAUUAAACAACAACACACUAAAAUUACUUCAGGGCGUCACCUAUUGGUCAGUUGUUAUUGGGUGACUACACUUUAUCUGAAUUCUGAUUGACUGGGAGCUGGGACUAAUGUGGAGGACGGAGGAAGAGAAGCGAGAGACGACGAGGAGACUCUAUGCACCACAGGAGAAUUGAAGGACCAAGGGAGGAGCGUUCGGUGAGCUGGAUCCUGGAAGUCUGCACAAGAACCUGUGGAGAGGAAGAGGCUAGCUACGCCUGCGGGGGGCCCGCUUCUUGGACUUGGAUGCGUUUUUCUCCGCCUUUACCGAGAAAGGUGUGGAAUAGCUGGCCGUUAUCUGGAGAGACAGACACCAGGACUUUAAAUAAACUAGCCACUGUGGAUCGAG
Molecule: non-coding RNA, 875 nt
Organism: Poecilia reticulata (guppy)
Lineage: Eukaryota; Metazoa; Chordata; Actinopteri; Cyprinodontiformes; Poeciliidae
Source: RefSeq, a predicted model, not a curated record